RNAcentral lists this ribosomal RNA (409 nucleotides) under Eutropis multifasciata (many-lined sun skink). RNAcentral describes it as "partial 12S ribosomal RNA". The record is from RNAcentral. Lineage: Eukaryota; Metazoa; Chordata; Lepidosauria; Squamata; Scincidae.
UGCUUAGCCCUUAACACAGACAACAGGCAUACAAUGCUGUCCGCCAGAGAACUACAAGUGAAAAACUCAAAACUCCAAGGACUUGGCGGUGCUCCAUACCGUCCUAGAGGAGCCUGUCCUGUAAUCGAUACCCCACGUUAUACCCGACCAUUUUUUGCAAUCUCAGCCUAUAUACCGCCGUCGUCAGCCUACCUUAUGAAAGACAAAAAGUAGGCAAAAUAGUUAUUCAACUAGCACGUCAGGUCAAGGUGUAGCACAUAAAAUGGAAGAGAUGGGCUACAUUUUCUAUUUCAGAAAACACGAACUGCACAAUGAAACACGUACAAGAAGGUGGAUUUAGCUGUAAGACAAACAAGAAAGUUUGUCUAAACCUCGCUCUGGAGCGCGCACACACCGCCCGUCACCCUCA